RNAcentral lists this ribosomal RNA (661 nucleotides) under uncultured bacterium. RNAcentral's name for it is "bacterial SSU rRNA". It matches the Rfam family "Bacterial small subunit ribosomal RNA", at positions 61 to 719 of the family's 1533-position model. The record is from RNAcentral.
GUCGAACGGCAGCGCGGGGCAACCUGGCGGCGAGUGGCGAACGGGUGAGUAAUAUAUCGGAACAUACCCUAGAGUGGGGGAUAACGUAGCGAAAGUUACGCUAAUACCGCAUACGAUCUAAGGAUGAAAGCGGGGGAUCGCAAGACCUCGUGCUCAUGGAGUGGCCGAUAUCUGAUUAGCUAGUUGGUAGGGUAAAAGCCUACCAAGGCGACGAUCAGUAGCUGGUUUGAGAGAACGACCAGCCACACUGGAACUGAGACACGGUCCAGACUCCUACGGGAGGCAGCAGUGGGGAAUUUUGGACAAUGGGGGCAACCCUGAUCCAGCAAUGCCGCGUGAGUGAAGAAGGCCUUCGGGUUGUAAAGCUCUUUUGUCAGGGAAGAAACGGUGAGUUCUAAUACAACUUGCUAAUGACGGUACCUGAAGGAUAAGCACCGGCUAACUACGUGCCAGCAGCCGCGGUAAUACGUAGGGUGCAAGCGUUAAUCGGAAUUACUGGGCGUAAAGCGUGCGCAGGCGGUUUUAUAAGUCUGAUGUGAAAUCCCCGGGCUCAACCUGGGAACUGCAUUGGAGACUGUAAGGCUAGAGUGUGUCAGAGGGGGGUAGAAUUCCACGUGUAGCAGUGAAAUGCGUAGAUAUGUGGAGGAAUACCGAUGGCGAA